Molecule: long non-coding RNA, 2039 nt
Organism: Bemisia tabaci
Lineage: Eukaryota; Metazoa; Arthropoda; Insecta; Hemiptera; Aleyrodidae
Source: RefSeq, a predicted model, not a curated record
UAUUUAUUGCUUGCACUACCGGCUAAAUUUCCUGAAAUGAAACUUCAUUGUUCAUUGUUUAUUCAUAUCCCACAGUUCUCAUUAUGUCUGCAUCAGUUCCAAAAUGAAGGACUCUCCCAUGGUUGGUAUAUCUCCUUCAAAAAAACCUCAAUCCAUGGUUCUGUACAUUAUCAUUAUUUUAUUACAGUAAUUUUAAAGAUAUUAACACUUCAGACAAUCUUUUGGAAGUGAUUCUAACUUGGUUGCAGUUUAAAAGGAAUCCUUUCAGGUAAAAAUCACUCAUCACAGUGCUGAUGAAUUACGGUAGAUGAAGUGCACUUCUACCCAUGCAAAAAGUUAGGAAUUCAAACUUAUUUUCUCACUAGACUGAGACCAGCUCAAUGCAAACUUUGGAAGCACUUGAGAACACAUCAUGGGAAUUUCACAGGUAGAGUGCAACUUGGUUGGAAGGAUUGGAAUAAUAUAAUAACAAAUUAUACUUCAAAUACAAAUUCAAGAAUCCUGAAUUCCUGAUGCCUCUUACCAAGAUACCCAUAGACUGAGAGAAAAAAAGAAGGUGAAAUGUUCACCUCAGUGUAUGGAACGUCUUCUGUUCAAGAAUUCCUUCCUUUCUGAGAAACUUUUUUUUCUUCCAGAGAAACUUGCUUUUUCUGAGAGCAACGUUCGGAACUGGAGAAAACUAUUUUAUUGUUGGAAAAUAUGCCAUUCUGUCAAACUGUUGAUUAUCACAUUGAUUACCUUCAUUCUAUUGUUAUUUACUAUAUCUACAUGAUACUAUCGAAGCGUCAGAAAUCGCGGGAAUAUUGUGUUGGGGUCACGCGUCUUGCUAGACCCUCGUUCAAGUGUAGUUCUUUGUCAUGGCAGAUUUGCUCCAAGCCAUCCACAAUUUUGAGAAAAGUAAGUACUCAAGCAUCGAUGUAGCUCGGCAUCGCCAAUUCAUGACUUGAUUAAAAAAUACAAAACUGUGACCUGUCGUAGGGCAUCUUACGCCAAAAUAAAAUAAUUUAAAUGAAUGCACAUAGGUAAGUACAUAACCUCGGAGAUUCUCUCACCAAAAUCCCUUACCUCCCCCAGACUAUAAAAAAACAAUAUGGCCACCGAUCCAAUUCAAAGUACACUUUGAAGGGAUUUUUUUUUAAUGCGGAACAGGGUGGAUCGUAGUGGAAUGCACUGGAUCGGAAUCCUGAGCGAUCCAAAGUGUUCCAAGUGAUAAAAAAAUCCUAUCUUGGAAUUUGGUUUGAUUUGUUGGGGACGGCAAGUUCCUUGCAUAAGAUCACAUUGGAUCGCGAGCUCGCCCCACCUCGGAAGAGCGAUCCAGCGUUCCACCCUGAUAAACAUGGAGCGCGGCUGAGGAACGGAAUAAAAAAAUACCGAUGUUCAUCACGGUCCACCUCGUUCGACUGCGAUCCGCAUAAAAAAAAGCCCUAUAAAAUCAAAAUGGAAUCAAAGAAUCAAUUGUCAAAUAACAAGAAAUACCGUUCAACAUGGCAAUAAUGGGGUUUCAUAACCUCCAAAAAUAAAGAAUAAAAAUAUUCGUUUCUAUCGGUAUUUUCUCACUCAGAAAAAAAGUUUUUCUCAGUAGAAAAGUUUUCUUUUGGAAGAAAAGCAUUUUUCUUGGGAGUAAAAAAUUUCUCUCAAAAAUAAAACUCUUCUCUCCAAAGAAAAAGUUUCUCCUGGGAAAAAAAAAAUUUCUCUCAGGAAAACGAAUUUGAGAACAGAAAAGGUUCUACAUCAGUGCAUCCUGAAAAUAGAAUCAUCUUAACACGAGAACGGACCAGGGAUAACCUCAAAUUAGAACAGCCGUAACGAAUAUACUAUGACUGGGCAAUAAUUCAAUUACAUUCAUUUUGAAGGUAAUCUGGAUGGCUUGGAUACAGAAAGGCAUCUUCUCCUUCACAUAUUAUUACCGUUUAAUGAUGUAUGACCAUUAUUUGUCACUAGGAGCAAAUAUGAAGUUGUUACAAAGCAGGAAAUAAAGCUGUCAAAUGAUUGCAAACUAAAGGAAUUAGAACUUAAAUAAAGCUGAGUUGUCAUAGAAU